GUUUGUGUGUUAGUAUGUGUGUGUGUUAGUAUGUCUGUGUCAGUAUGUCUGUUUGUGUAUGUAUGUCAGUAUGUCUGUGUGUGUCUGUGUGUGUCUAUGACAGACAUACUGACAUACACACACAGACAUACUGACACAUACACACACACACAG
Non-coding RNA from Pelobates cultripes (western spadefoot toad), 153 nucleotides. The record is from the annotation of a GenBank genome assembly. NCBI's taxonomy places the organism in Eukaryota, Metazoa, Chordata, Amphibia, Anura, Pelobatidae.